UCUCGAAAACACACACUAGCAUAACCAGCAUUGUUGUGUUAGUGGAGUAGUUUGUGAUGGAUGCACGGGCCGCUGGUGUUUUCGUUGUGCUGCUUCUGUUCUUAGGAAAUCCAAUUUCAGCAGAUCAUUGCACCGUAGAAGAUCUGGGCGCGCUCUUUUGCAUCAAACCUCUUUGCGCGUUGGCUUGUGCUGACUCAGCGAAACAAAACCGUGGCUCUUACCAUGCCGCUCGGUGCGGUGGAAGCCAAUGCAAAUGCAAGAUUUGCUACACUGGGUGAAAUUAUUUAGAGUAACUGAACAAGUAAUGUUUUACUAUGUAUUCCAAAAAAUAAAUAUGGCAUUCCUAAAGCAGAAAUAAAUAAUUCAUUAUGUUAUGUUA
This is a long non-coding RNA of Lolium perenne, 379 nucleotides long. RefSeq lists it as uncharacterized. NCBI's taxonomy places the organism in Eukaryota, Viridiplantae, Streptophyta, Magnoliopsida, Poales, Poaceae. The record is from RefSeq and is a predicted model, not a curated record.